CUUCUCCAGCACAGCACAGCUGCUCACAAUUUAUAAAACAGCCCUUCUCCAUGUGAACUGAGUAGCAUCAUAUAGGCAGGGGGAGCAAGAUGGAGUCACAGACCCACGUCCUCAUGUUGCUGCUGUUCUGGGUGUCUGAUACCAGUGGAGAUAUCAUGAUGACCCAGUCUCCAUCCUCCCUGGCUGUGUCAGCGGGAGAGAAGGUCACCAUCAGUUGCAAGUCCAGUCAGAGUCUUUUAAACACCGGAAACCAAAAGAACUACUUGUCCUGGUACCAGCAGAAACCAGGGCAAUCCCCUAACCUGCUGAUCUACUAUGCAUCCACCAGGCACACUGGGGUCCCAGUUCGCUUCUCAGGCAGUGGAUCUGGGACAGAUUUCACUCUUACCAUCAGCAGUGUGCAGGCUGAAGACCUGGCAGUUUACUACUGUCAGCAGGGUUACAGCUAUCCUCCCACAGUGCUUCAGCCUCCAAUAAAAACCUCCUUCAGAGUCUCUCCAGCUGUCUGCAGCACACACACUGACCUGACCCUGCAUACUUCCCCCUUCUGCCUGAAAGUGGGUAGCCCUGAAAAAGCAAUAAAAGAAUUUGCAGAGCAUAUAUUUUGGUGGUAUUCCUGGGAAGCCAGCAAUUUACUGAAGGAAACAGAAGAGGGGCAGAUUGGGGCAGAGGGUUUUUUCAUACCAAAAGACAUAAUCCAUUAUUUUGAAAGUUGA
Meriones unguiculatus (Mongolian gerbil) is the source of this 716-nucleotide non-coding RNA. The record is from the annotation of a RefSeq genome assembly. Lineage: Eukaryota; Metazoa; Chordata; Mammalia; Rodentia; Muridae.